CGGGGUGCACCAGGCGCGAAAACUCUACAAUGCAGGCAACUGCGAUAGGGGAACAUCGAGUGAUCCUCAUAUUGGGGGUCUGUCCACUCGUCUAAAAAACGGGUGUUAGCAAGGGCCGGGCAAGACCGGUGCCAGCCGCCGCGGUAAUACCGGCGGCUCGAGUGGUGGCCGAUAUUAUUGAGUCUAAAGGGUCCGUAGCCGGCUUUGCAAGUCUCUCGGGAAAUCCAGCGGCUUAACCGUUGGUCGUCCGGGGGGUACUACAUUGCUUGGGACUGGGAGAGGUAGGAGGUACUCAAGGGGUAGGAGUGAAAUCCUGUAAUCCUUUGGGGACCACCGGUGGCGAAGGCGUCCUACCAGAACAGGUCCGACGGUGAGGGACGAAAGCUAGGGGCACGAACCGGAUUAGAUACUCGGGUAGUCCUAGCCGUAAACGAUGCUCGCUAGGUGUCACGGCAGUCGUGAACUGCCGUGGUGCCGUAGGGAAGCCGUGAAGCGAGCCACUUGGGAAGUACGACCGCAAGGUUGAAACUUAAAGGAAUUGGCGGGGGAGCAC
RNAcentral lists this ribosomal RNA (553 nucleotides) under uncultured archaeon. RNAcentral's name for it is "bacterial SSU rRNA". It matches the Rfam family "Archaeal small subunit ribosomal RNA", at positions 326 to 879 of the family's 1478-position model. The record is from RNAcentral.